RNAcentral lists this ribosomal RNA (265 nucleotides) under uncultured bacterium. Its description in RNAcentral is "partial 16S ribosomal RNA". It matches the Rfam family "Bacterial small subunit ribosomal RNA", at positions 793 to 1055 of the family's 1533-position model. The record is from RNAcentral.
GUCCUAGCCGUAAACGAUGGACACUAGGUGUUGGUGGUAUCAACCCCGCCAGUGCCGAAGCUAACGCAUUAAGUGUCCCGCCUGGGGAGUACGGCCGCAAGGCUAAAACUCAAAGGAAUUGACGGGGGCCCGCACAAGCAGCGGAGCGUGGGGUUUAAUUCGACGCGACGCGAAGAACCUUACCAGGACUUGACAUGACCAGGACAACGGCGGAAACGCCGUCUCCCCGCAAGGGGCCUGGCCACAGGUGUUGCAUGGCUGUCGU